RNAcentral lists this ribosomal RNA (466 nucleotides) under uncultured bacterium. RNAcentral's name for it is "partial 16S ribosomal RNA". It matches the Rfam family "Bacterial small subunit ribosomal RNA", at positions 28 to 507 of the family's 1533-position model. The record is from RNAcentral.
GACGAACGCUGGCGGCGCGCCUAACACAUGCAAGUCGAACGAGCGAGCGAGAGCUUGCUUUCUUGAGCGAGUGGCGAACGGGUGAGUAACGCGUGAGGAACCUGCCUCAAAGAGGGGGACAACAGUUGGAAACGACUGCUAAUACCGCAUAAGCCCACGACCCGGCAUCGGGUUGAGGGAAAAGGAGCAAUCCGCUUUGAGAUGGCCUCGCGUCCGAUUAGCUAGUUGGUGAGGUAACGGCCCACCAAGGCGACGAUCGGUAGCCGGACUGAGAGGUUGAACGGCCACAUUGGGACUGAGACACGGCCCAGACUCCUACGGGAGGCAGCAGUGGGGAAUAUUGCACAAUGGGGGAAACCCUGAUGCAGCGACGCCGCGUGGAGGAAGAAGGUCUUCGGAUUGUAAACUCCUGUUGUUGAGGAAGAUAAUGACGGUACUCAACAAGGAAGUGAUGGCUAACUACGUG